Molecule: ribosomal RNA, 492 nt
Filed under: uncultured marine eukaryote
Lineage: Eukaryota
Description: SSU rRNA
Rfam family: Eukaryotic small subunit ribosomal RNA
Source: RNAcentral
UGCAGUUAAAAAGCUCGUAGUUGGAUUUCGGAGUGGGCCAGUUGGUCCGCCGCAAGGUGUGUUACUGACUGGUUUGCUCUUCUUCGCAAAGACUGCGUGUGCUCUUUAUUGAGUGUGCGUAGGAUUUACGACGUUUACUUUGAAGAAAAUUAGAGUGUUCAAAGCAGGCUAUUGCUUGAAUACAUGAGCAUGGAAUAAUGGAAUAGGAUUUUGGUCCCAUUUUGUUGGUUUCUAGGACCGAAGUAAUGAUUAAGAGGGACAAUUGGGGGCAUCCGUAUUUCGUUGUCAGAGGUGAAAUUCUUGGAUUUACGAAAGACGAACAACUGCGAAAGCACUUGCCAAGAGUGUUUUCAUUAAUCAAGAACGAAAGUUAGAGGAUCGAAGACGAUCAGAUACCGUCCUAGUUCUAACCAUAAACGAUGUCGACUAGGGAUCAGCGGGCGUUAUCGUACGACCCCGUUGGCACCUUACGGGAAACCAAAGUUUCUGGAU